ACUCCUACGGGAGGCAGCAGUGGGGAAUAUUGGACAAUGGGCGCAAGCCUGAUCCAGCCAUGCCGCGUGGAUGAUGAAGGCCUUAGGGUUGUAAAGUCCUUUCGGCGGGGAAGAUAAUGACGGUACCCGCAGAAGAAGCCCCGGCUAACUUCGUGCCAGCAGCCGCGGUAAUACGAAGGGGGCUAGCGUUGCUCGGAAUCACUGGGCGUAAAGCGCACGUAGGCGGACUCUUAAGUCGGUGGUGAAAUCCUGGAGCUCAACUCCAGAACUGCCUUCGAUACUGAGAGUCUCGAGUCCGAGAGAGGUGAGUGGAACUGCGAGUGUAGAGGUGAAAUUCGUAGAUAUUCGCAAGAACACCAGUGGCGAAGGCGGCUCACUGGCUCGGUACUGACGCUGAGGUACGAAAGCGUGGGGAGCAAACAGGAUUAGAUGCCCUGGUAGUCCACGCCGUAAACGAUGGAUGCUAGCCGUUGGCAGGCUUGCCCGUCAGUGGCGCAGCUAACGCAUUAAGCAUCCCGCCUGGGGAGUACGGUCGCAAGAUUAAAACUCAAAGGAAUUGACGGGGGCCCGCACAAGCGGUGGAGCAUGUGGUUCAAUUCGAAGCAACGCGCAGAACCUUACCAACCUUUGACAUGUCCCGUAUGAGCAACAGAGAUGUAGCUCUUCAGUUCGGCUGGCGGGAACACAGGUGCUGCAUGGCUGUCGUCAGCUCGUGUCGUGAGAUGUUGGGUUAAGUCCCGCAGCGAGCGCAACCCUCGCCCUUAGUUGCCAUCAUUCAGUUGGGCACUCUAAGGGGACUGCCGGUGAUAAGCCGCGAGGAAGGUGGGGAUGACGUCAAGUCCUCAUGGCCCUUACAGGUUGGGCUACACACGUGCUACAAUGGCGGUGACAAUGGGAUGCAAUGGAGCGAUCCUGCGCAAAUCUCAAAAAGCCGUCUCAGUUCGGAUUGCACUCUGCAACUCGAGUGCAUGAAGUUGGAAUCGCUAGUAA
This 990-nucleotide ribosomal RNA is filed under the name uncultured bacterium. RNAcentral's name for it is "bacterial SSU rRNA". It matches the Rfam family "Bacterial small subunit ribosomal RNA", at positions 335 to 1341 of the family's 1533-position model. The record is from RNAcentral.